RNAcentral lists this ribosomal RNA (253 nucleotides) under uncultured bacterium. Its description in RNAcentral is "partial 16S ribosomal RNA". It matches the Rfam family "Bacterial small subunit ribosomal RNA", at positions 524 to 776 of the family's 1533-position model. The record is from RNAcentral.
UACGUAGGGUGCAAGCGUUGUUCGGAAUUACUGGGCGUAAAGGGCGCGUAGGCGGCCUUGUAAGUCUCGUGUGAAAGCCCUCGGCUUAACUGAGGAUCUGCACGGGAUACUGUAAGGCUCGAGUUCGGGAGAGGAAAGCGGAAUUCCGGGUGUAGCGGUGAAAUGCGUAGAUAUCCGGAGGAACACCAGUGGCGAAGGCGGCUUUCUGGACCGACACUGACGCUGAGGCGCGAAAGCUAGGGGAGCAAACGGG